RNAcentral lists this ribosomal RNA (449 nucleotides) under uncultured bacterium. RNAcentral describes it as "bacterial SSU rRNA". It matches the Rfam family "Bacterial small subunit ribosomal RNA", at positions 354 to 796 of the family's 1533-position model. The record is from RNAcentral.
GUAGGGAAUUUUCGGCAAUGGGGGAAACCCUGACCGAGCAAUGCCGCGUGAGUGAAGACGGCCUUCGGGUUGUAAAGCUCUGUUGUAAGGGAAGAACGGCAUAGAGAGGGAAUGCUCUAUGAGUGACGGUACCUUACCAGAAAGCCACGGCUAACUACGUGCCAGCAGCCGCGGUAAUACGUAGGUGGCAAGCGUUAUCCGGAAUUAUUGGGCGUAAAGGGUGCGUAGGCGGCGAGAUAAGUCUGAGGUAAAAGCCCGUGGCUCAACCACGGUAAGCCUUGGAAACUGUCUGGCUGGAGUGCAGGAGAGGACAAUGGAAUUCCAUGUGUAGCGGUAAAAUGCGUAGAUAUAUGGAGGAACACCAGUGGCGAAGGCGGUUGUCUGGCCUGUAACUGACGCUGAAGCACGAAAGCGUGGGGAGCAAAUAGGAUUAGAAACCCCAGUAGUCC